CUCUGCAUCCACUGGGUUUGAGGUAGGUGUAGCAGGACCAGCCUUGGUUCCACUAGAAGAGGUGUCUGUUGGAUUAAUGUCUAAGUCCAUAACUAUAUUUGGUAUGUACUUGACCCGACCCGGCAUGGUCCAUUUGGGUUGCACUUCACCCACACAAUUUAUAUGGAUAAUCUUUUGAGAAUAGUAUGUUUAUGAUUAAUAUUAAUAUAUUAUAAGUUCUAAUAUAUUAAUAUGGAAUCAUAUUAUUUAAUUAGUAUUGAUCAAGAAUUAAUUUAUAAUUAAUUAAGUGAUCAAAAGGAACUAAUUAAAUAUGGACUCUUAUAUAUAUGGAAUGGGCCAAGUUCAUUUAGGUUGGGCUAAGCUUUCAUGGAUAGUCCAUGGAGUGUUUAACCCAUGGAUCCUAGGAAAUGAAAGGUCAUGGGUAUUAGGGUUUAACCCUAAUCCUCCAUACUAUAUAAAGAUGUCUUUGGUUGGUGAAAUUGGCACUAGUGGUGAUACACUAAGAGGGCUAGCCGAUUUCACUAAGAGAGAACCAAGUAUUCAUAUUCUCUAAAGUCUUCCAAGGUGUCUUGGUGAUUUGUGAUUCCACUUGAGGCUUCCACACUAUUGGGGCUAAGCUCUUAAAGCUUGAAGACAUCAAGCUACAUCAAAAGGUAUGUCUUCUAACUAGUACUUUGUAGAUUAAGAACAUCAUAAUAUGCUAGUUAGGAUUAAAGCCUUGGAAAGUUCUUAUUUGCAUGUAUAAUAGAGAAAACAUAGAUCCAAGGUUUAUAGGGUUGCAUGUACACCAUAGGAGUGUUAGAAUGCUCAAAACCCAACAGUGGUAUCAGAGCCACGGGUUGUUUUCUGUUAUAUUGAUGCAAAUAUUUUAUUUUCAAAGUUGAAAAAAAAAAAAAAAAAAAACAUGAAGUUUGUCAAAUUUUAAGAUAAUUACUUGUUCUUGUGAAAAACUAAUUAUUUGUAAAAUUUGAAUAAUUUGCUUUAUGAGUUGAAUUAGGUCAAAUUUAAUAAAAGAUAAAAUAAUAUGAUUAUUUUAUUAGUUUUAAAAGUUUGAUCUAAAGAGUUUUAUUUUUUGAAACCUCCAUAAGUUAUGGAUAUGAAAAGGUUUUAAAAAAAAAAUUGAUUCAAAGUUUUUUUGGAGUUACAAAAUUUGGUGUUAAUGUUUUAAAGGAUUCCAUAACUUAAGAAUAAGUUAUGGAUCACCAAAAGUUUUUUGUGUUACCUUGUUUUAUGAGUGAAUUUAGAUUAAUGAAUAAAAUUAUGUGAUAGUUGGUUUUAAUCCAAAUUAAUCUAAGAAUUGAUUCUAAAAUGUGUUUUUGUAACUUGUCCUCAAGUUAUAUGAAAAGUCACAUUUAAGAAUCAUAAAACUCAUAAAAAUUGGCAAAGGUUACAAAAAUGAAGAGUCUAGUUCUAAUUAAAUGGUUUUAUGACUCCAUAACUUGUCCUCAAGUUAUGGAGGACCAAGAGUCUCUUCAUUUAAUAAAAUAAAAUAAAAAAAAAAAAAGUGUAACCUUAAUUAAUUCCAUAAGUUAUAAAAUAAAGAAAAGUUAAUUCUUUUAUUAGUUUAAAGUCUUCCAUAACUUGUCCUCAAGUUAUGGAACUUGAAGAGUUUUUGGAUUAAAACUACUUUAAACACAUAAGUUAUGGAAUUAAUUAGUUUUGAAUAGUUUCAAAACUUGCCCUCAAGUUUUGGAAUUUGUAAAGUUUUCACUUAUGAAUACUUUAAUUCCAAGUUAGCCCUUAGAAUUUUAAAAGUUAAAAUUCAACCCUUAUACUUUAUAAUAUUAUAAGUUAAUAAUAUAUAUAUGUAUAAGAGUAAAGUCAGUCUUACCGCUAGUACGCCUCAUUCACGAAGCCGGUCUAUAAGGUGGGUAUAAGGUUGUUGCCUAUAAAAUGGCAACUUAAUGGGUGUCCACUCUCACCCACCGCUUGCUUGACUGGUGGAGGGUCGUUAGCCGAACGGGUUUGACAGGACUAGAAUUCUCCCUUCAUUAAAAGUAUUAAUGAUAAUACUAAGUAACUAAACUCUUAAUAAUACCCAAUCUUAGUUACUUAGGAAAAAUGUGAAUAAGGUGCUAAUCCAUGAAAUUACACUUUACACUUUGUCUAAGUCGUUAGUGGAGCGUGUGUGGUUAACCGGCACACUAACUUGGACUUAACAAGGUAGGUAAAGGGUGACUUAAUAUUUAUCAUAGUAUCGAUGGAGCGUGUGUGGUUAACCGGCACAUCGAUUGAGGGGUAAUUUAUUAAGGGUACCAAGUGAUUUGCAUGGUUACUUCACACCUUGUUUUGUGAUCCUCGGCAUCCCAGUCACAAAACCUGAAGGGCACACUCGAGAUUGAAACAUGCCUUUGAAAAGUUCAAUGAAUCUCAAAGAUCUAGGAGUUUCAAAACCAAUUAAAACCUAAUAAUACAUUUCGUUUAUCUUGGUGGAAAUUGGUGAAUCGUCAUUCACCUACCUUCAAAUAUUUUAUAGCUUGGAUUACGGCAUACCUCUUCUAAGUUAUAAAAUAGUUUGUUGGGUCCUAGCCUUAAUAUUUCAUAUUGGGUGUCAUAUUAAGGACUUUAAAUCAACUAUCUUGAAUAUCUCCCAAAAGAUGUCUGUAAUAGACACCUAUGAUCUUCCCAAAUCUAGUGAAACAAGGUUUCCUAAAUGAAGAUGAUGUCCUUUGGAAAUCAUACUUCUUUCACCUCCUCCAAUUAUUCUCCCUAACCCACAAGUUCUUGAAAAGUUUAAGGUCACUCAAGCCCUAUUGGCAAGGCAAGGUCUAGGUGUGAUCACAUCUUGGAGAUGUAGUCACAUAUUGACAAGCCGGGAGAGUUGGGUGUCAAAGUCUUGAGAAAGUUGGUGGUUCAAUCACUUUCUAAGUCACAUAGUGAGUUCCUUUGGGACACCUAUGAAACAGACUAUGACAAGACCCUUAAUGAUCUUAUCUAUUUGCUAAGAUCAACUUCCUAAAACUUUAUGGACAUUGACAAUGAUGACAUUGGAUAUCCAGUAAAGCAUUCUCUUCCCAAUGGAAAGGGAUCGGCCAUAGUCAACUCGGUUGACCAAAUGGUAAAGAGAAAAGCUAAGUCUGUGAUAGUCUCGUGUACCAUUAUCAAAGGGUCCAUAUGUUUAUAUUGCCAAGGGAAGGGGCAUUGGUUGCGAAGCUGCCAAAUUUACCUAAGGAUGUUAAAGUCAAUAAGUUUGACUCUACUUCAGGUAAAGACCACUAUCUAACUCUGUUAAGUUUCUAUUCUGAGAUUCCUGAUACAUGAUGUGACUGGGUCACAUGGUGAUGUUUUAAGAAUCAAAGAAAAGUGAAGAAACUUAAAGAAAGAAUAUGCUGAAUCUGAUGGCGUAGAUGGAUUUCUAUCGCAUAGUUUGAAGAUCGGAUUCUUGAGCAACUUCUUAGGAGUUAUGAGAUAUUGCUUAGGAAUAGAUAACAACAAGUUUUCAUAUGGAUUGUAAGGAUAAGUUUUUCCGCAAAGUUUUAAAAUAAAAGAAAAUUUUUUUGAUUUUAUUUAUUUUAAAAUAUCCUUACAAUGGCUUUUGAGGAAAAAUUGUUGCUUAUAUGAUUCCAUUAAGAGCAAGAGUGGAAAUAUGAAAUUGAUUCUUUCAUUUGUGGUAAUGUCUAGAUUUACCAAAUAAGGAAAGAUUCUCAUCACCCAAGUUUCAAUUGGACCGGAACUUGGAAUCAUGCAAGUUGUAUAGCAUGAUGAAUGAGAACUUUCAAGUUUUGGAAAAUUAAGACUAAUUACUCGGCCACAUGGAUGUGUGAGUCAAGUAAAGGACUAAGGGAUCGAGUACACAUUCUUGUGCACUGAUUAAGUCCACCACAAAAGAUUGAUAAGACUAUUCGUCAUAGUUUACUAAAGCUCAGUAAAUAUGAUUAUACUUACAAGCUUAAGUGUAACUCUGAGACAUUGGAAAAGGUUCCAAUGUAUGGCAGGGCGAAUAAGAAGAAUCAAAUAAGGCAGAAGGAUAAAAGUUUCUCAAAUCUGAAAAGAUGGGAGAGUACUUUAGUAUCAGUUUUGUGAUCAUCUUAAUGAUUAAGAAACCAUAUCAAAAUUAGUUCUCUAAGGAAAUCUUAGUGCAUUCUUAUGACUAAGAAGAGGAACUUGAAUUGUUGAAAUGGUUAAAUCAAGAAGAUGAGUCAUACUUCGUUCCAAUACAAGUCUUAGAGUCAUACUCCAAGAUUGUCAUUUGAGUGACAUGUCUUAAAGAAGGUUUAAAACACUUGUCAAAUGUAAGAGUAAAAGUUUUCUACUCUUGUACAUUUGAAAUUGGUAAGUUGUGAUGUUUUGGAUAAAACAAAGACCAACUUAGGCCAAUUGGGUAAAGUGUUUUUCUUGAUUAGAAUCCGCACUAUCUCUUGGAUGUUUGACAAGGGAGUCUUAUAUGUCAAGAGGACAGUGGGAGUCUUAAAGGUCUUGAAAGUCUCAAGAACUAAUCAAGAAUAAAACCUGAAGUUCUUCACUAGCACACGACUUGAGGUUUAUAACCUAUCGUGUUGACAUAUUCUGUGCCCAUUCCAGUUAAAGUUGGCUUUGCAUAUGAGUUCUUAGAGUUCUCAAUUUGUUGCACAACAACUUGGAAGCAAUGGUAGGCCCUUGAGCUGCCAGGUGGCAAGAAAUUAAGAUUGAGUUCAGUCCAUAUGAGUUUGGAUUUGUCAUUAUCCUUGUCUUGUGACUAUGAUUUUGACAAUUCACAUGGAUAAGAACACAUACACCAUUAAAUCUAAGUGUCAUAAGGUUUCUCUCCGAUUCAUGAAAAUGAUGGUGAGGAAACACUUUCACUAAGUAGAUUUUAGCUAGAUAGCAAUUGUGAUAUUUGCAUUCUCAAAGUCGUUAGUGGAGCGCGUGUGGUUAACCGGCACACUAACUUGGACUUGUGAGAAGUGGCAAAAAGGUCUAAACAUUAUGAUUACGGCAUCCCUCUUCAUAAUUGUUUAGAUACACAAGUGUGCUAUCUAAGGGAAGGUGUAUGAUUUUGAUAAAGUUUUAUCAAAACAAUCUAGUAUCAGAAAUCUGAACUUUGGUAAGAAAGUCAAUGAAGUAUUGAUUUCUAGAAGUCCAGCUGAUUUCUGAGUACAUGUCAAAGCUAGUGGGAGCAUAAGUGUUAUGCUAAUAAUCAUCAUGUUAGUGGGAGCAUGAUAAUUAUGAUAAGUAUUGCAAGUUAGCAAUGUUAAUUAUAGAAAACAAAAGUUUCAAUUGGGAAAAAGUUGUUUUGCUAUAAUUAAGGGAGAGGAAAUUAUACUUCAUCUCAAAUCUAUAAGCUUAGAUCGUGAGGUUUUAAUCAUUUAGUCAAGGAUAUAUAUGAAUUUCAUGUUGGAAUGGCUCAACAUAAGGAAAUUCUGUAUAUGGGUCCAUUAUUUGCGUUCUAAAAUUCGAUUAUGAUUACGGCAUCCCUUUUCAUAAUCUGAAUUAUGAGAACUUGGCAAAUUGAAAUGGAAAUGUUAUAGCAAAAGACUGGUUUAGUCUUUAUGUGAGACAUCAUGAAUCGUGUCCCAUAUGCUUCGGAUAUAGGAUCGAUUACAUGUGCUAUAUUCAUCCGUUCUAAAAUUUUCCAAAUGCCUGGGGCAUUAAGAAGGGAAAAGGUUUAGAACUGGAUAUGACUAAAAGGAUUAAACAAUUGUCGAGGACAAUCUAAGGUUUACCAAAGAUUGGUUGCUCAAGGACAGUUGGAAGUAUAGUGAUAAUUCUGGAAGGACCAUAUUGACAUAAUCUGUAAGGAGGCAACUCUUGUUCAGAAGUGAUAGUCAAAAUGGAAUCUGGAAAUGUUUCAAAGUUAGAAUUUUCAAUCUGUUUAAGAUUAGGAAACUUAAUGCAAGAAGGAUGUUUCCAAGGAGCUGAUCUCCUUUGGAAUACUCUGUAAUGAUUGUUGUCAAGUCUUUCUGACUUUGUGCAUAAUCAUUACAAGAGGAUCAAUGCAUAUAAGUUUAGAAUCUAACAGAUUUCAGUAAAUGGCAUGAAUUUGGAAUUCUUGCAUUUGCAGUAAGGAUUUGGGAGUGUGAAAAGAGAAUCAUUGAAGUUAUGUUCAAUUGAUCUAGUUCACAAAGUAAAGAUCAUAGACAAACAUAGUAUGCAUACUUGGUGUGUGGCAUGACUAGUGUUUAAGAAAACAUAGUGUACAUGCUUGGAGCAUGGGACAACUAUUGUUUUAAAUUCAAGAAUAAAGUUGAUAGCUGAAACAGUAUACAAUGAAUAAUGUGUAAUCAUAUGGUGAUAAAUAAAAGGUGUUUUAUUUAUGUUCAAAGUUUUGAUACCAUAUUGGAUUCAAUUAUUAUUGUGUUUCACUUUGCAUGUUUUGACUUCCCGAAUAAACUAGGUUAUUCUUCCGGAAUGACUAAGUUAUUCAAACCAUCCACAGUCGGUCAUAUGUUGGAAGUAGAUAUGAAUUAAGACUGUCAUGGGUUGGCUUGUAGAGGUCUAAGGUGUUGGACAAAGGGCUACAACACUCAUGAGUGCUCAUAAGUUCUGAGUAUUGGAUUCAACCCGCGCUCAUUGGAAUCACUUCAUGGAUUUUAUCACGAGUGAUCAUGAGACGAUAAUAUCUUAUAUUCUUCAAACCUAGAGAUAUGAGUUGUUACUAUGAGUUGGUUGUACAUUGAUUGCACGAAAACGCAUUUGGUAACUCGGUGCUAUAAAACGUGCCUUUGUGUAUGAUUCAACAAGUAGUAGAACAAGCCAUAUGAGUCGAAGUUUAUCCGUUCCUUUUACCUUCGGGAUAAAAGCGAUAUCUGUGGGCCCCUCGAUGAUUUGAUGAUGACAAAUGGAAGUGCUCGGCCGGGCCAGGACUGAUUUGAUUUGUUCAAUUAGUCAGUCGUCAUAAAUCGGAAAUCGGGAAACAACAAAUGGACAGAGAGAAUGAUUAUAAUCCAUGUCUCAGUCCAUAUGAUAUCUAGAAUGGAGGAAUAUAUGAUCCCUUAUCUAAUGGACAAGUUCGUUGACAAGAUCAGAGUUCGACAGCAGCUUUAAGAGCUACGAUUGCCAGUUAGGUUUGAAGUCAUACGCAAUAAUAGUUUUAGACUUAUCCAAGUGGGAGACUGUUGGAUUAAUGUCUAAGUCCAUAACUAUAUUUGGUAUGUACUUGACCCGACCCGGCAUGGUCCAUUUGGGUUGCACUUCACCGACACAAUUUAUAUGGAUAAUCUUUUGAGAAUAGUAUGUUUAUGAUUAAUAUUAAUAUAUUAUAAGUUCUAAUAUAUUAAUAUGGAAUCAUAUUAUUUAACUAGUAUUGAUCAAGAAUUAAUUUAUAAUUAAUUAAGUGAUCAAAAGGAACUAAUUAAAUAUGGACUCUUAUAUAUAUGGAAUGGGCCAAGUUCAUUUAGGUUGGGCUAAGCUUUCAUGGAUAGUCCAUGGAGGGUUUAACCCAUGGAUCCUCGGAAAUGAAAGGUCAUGGGGAUUAGGGUUUAACCCUAAUCCUCCACACUAUAUAAAGAUGUCNGUGAAAUUGGCACUAGUGGUGAUACACUAAGAGGGCUAGCCGAUUUCACUAAGAGAGAACCAAGUAUUCAUAUUCUCUAAAGUCUUCCAAGGUGUCUUGGUGAUUUGUGAUUCCACUUGAGGCUUCCACACUAUUGGGGCUAAGCUCUUAAAGCUUGAAGACAUCAAGCUACAUCAAAAGGUAUGUCUUCUAACUAGUACUUUGUAGAUUAAGAACAUCAUAAUAUGCUAGUUAGGAUUAAAGCCUUGGAAAGUUCUUAUUUGCAUGUAUAAUAGAGAAAACAUAGAUCCAAGGUUUAUAGGGUUGCAUGUACACCAUAGG
This 7753-nucleotide long non-coding RNA is filed under the name Lactuca sativa (garden lettuce). RNAcentral's name for it is "long non-coding RNA (LSAT_LNC008434)". Lineage: Eukaryota; Viridiplantae; Streptophyta; Magnoliopsida; Asterales; Asteraceae. The record is from RNAcentral.